UGGGAACUGCGUUNUGAACUGGGUGACUAGAGUGUGUCAGAGGGAGGUAGANUUCCACGUGUAGCAGUGAAAUGCGUAGAGAUGUGGAGGAAUACCGAUGGCGAAGGCAGCCUCCUGGGAUAACACUGACGUUCAUGCCCGAAAGCGUGGGUAGCAAACAGGAUUAGAUACCCUGGUAGUCCACGCCCUAAACGAUGUCGAUUAGCUGUUGGGCAGCAUGACUGCUUAGUAGCGAAGCUAACGCGUGAAAUCGACCGCCUGGGGAGUACGGUCGCAAGAUUAAAACUCAAAGGAAUUGACGGGGACCCGCACAAGCGGUGGAUGAUGUGGAUUAAUUCGAUGCAACGCGAAGAACCUUACCUGGUCUUGACAUGUACGGAACCCUCCAGAGACGGAGGGGUGCCUUCGGGAGCCGUAACACAGGUGCUGCAUGGCUGUCGUCAGCUCGUGUCGUGAGAUGUUGGGUUAAGUCCCGCAACGAGCGCAACCCUUGUCAUUAGUUGCCAUCAUUAAGUUGGGCACUCUAAUGAGACUGCCGGUGACAAGCCGGGGGAAGGUGGGGAUGACGUCAAGUCCUCAUGGCCCUUAUGACCAGGGCUUCACACGUCAUACAAUGGUCGGUACAGAGGGUAGCCAAGCCGCGAGGUGGAGCCAAUCUCACAAAACCGAUCGUAGUCCGGAUUGCACUCUGCAACUCGAGUGCAUGAAGUCGGAAUCGCUAGUAAUCGCAGGUCAGCAUACUGCGGUGAAUACGUUCCCGGGUCUUGUACACA
RNAcentral lists this ribosomal RNA (773 nucleotides) under uncultured bacterium. RNAcentral's name for it is "bacterial SSU rRNA". It matches the Rfam family "Bacterial small subunit ribosomal RNA", at positions 615 to 1389 of the family's 1533-position model. The record is from RNAcentral.